AUCAGCCCUGCCCGCGUGAGCUGAGAAGGCCUUUUGGUCUGUAAAGCUCUUUACUCAGGUGAAGAAGACCUAACGGCUUAGUACCCGUUACCGAUGACAUUAGCGUGCCCAAUAACCACCGGCUAACUCUGUGCCAUCACCCGCGCGAAUACUAGGGUGCAAGCGUUAGUCGAAAUUACUGGUCGUAAUGCAAGCGUAGGUGUCUUGAUCAGUCAGAUGUGACAUCCCCGGCCUUAACCUGUGAACUGCAUCUGAUACUGUUAAACUCCAGUAGGUGAGAGGAAAUUAGAAUUCCUGGUGUAGCGUUGAAAUGCGUAAAGAUCUGCACGAAUACCGAUGGCAAACGCAGCUUCCUGGCCUCGUACUGACACUGAGGCUCGAUAGCGUGGGUAGCAAACCAGAUUACAUACCCUGGUAGUCCACGCCGUAUACGAUGUCUACUACUCGUUGGGUCCCUUGAGGACUUACUGACGCAACUACGCUCUAAGUAGACCGCCUGGGGAGUACGGCCGCAAGGUUAAAACUCAAAUGAAUUGACUGGGGCCCUCACAAGCGGUGGAACAUGUGGUUUAAUUCUAUGCAUCGCGAAGAACCUUACCUGGUCUUGACAUACACAUUAAUCUUGUAUAGAUACGAGAGUGCCUUCGGUAAUUGUGAUACAGGUGCUGCAUGGCUGUCGUCAGCUCGUGUCGUGAGAUGUUGGGUUAAGUCCCGCAACGAGCGCAACCCUUGUCCUUAGUUACCAGCUGCUUAAGCCGGCUCA
RNAcentral lists this ribosomal RNA (763 nucleotides) under Psychrobacter sp. RNAcentral's name for it is "bacterial SSU rRNA". It matches the Rfam family "Bacterial small subunit ribosomal RNA", at positions 386 to 1139 of the family's 1533-position model. The record is from RNAcentral. Lineage: Bacteria; Pseudomonadati; Pseudomonadota; Gammaproteobacteria; Moraxellales; Moraxellaceae.